GGAUCAAUGAUGACAAACCAAUGUCAUGAAGAAAUGUGAUGACAUAAAAUUUAUGCUCAAUAGGAUUACGCUGAGGCCC
Non-coding RNA from Mus musculus (house mouse), 79 nucleotides. Lineage: Eukaryota; Metazoa; Chordata; Mammalia; Rodentia; Muridae. The record is from Rfam.